Molecule: ribosomal RNA, 427 nt
Filed under: Salmonella enterica subsp. enterica serovar Paratyphi A
Lineage: Bacteria; Pseudomonadati; Pseudomonadota; Gammaproteobacteria; Enterobacterales; Enterobacteriaceae
Description: partial 23S ribosomal RNA
Rfam family: Bacterial large subunit ribosomal RNA
Source: RNAcentral
AACCUGAAACCGUGUACGUACAAGCAGUGGGAGCACAGGUUUACCUGUGUGACUGCGUACCUUUUGUAUAAUGGGUCAGCGACUUAUAUUCUGUAGCAAGGUUAACCGUAUAGGGGAGCCGGAGGGAAACCGAGUCUUAACCGGGCGUUAAGUUGCAGGGUAUAGACCCGAAACCCGGUGAUCUAGCCAUGGGCAGGUUGAAGGUUGGGUAACACUAACUGGAGGACCGAACCGACUAAUGUUGAAAAAUUAGCGGAUGACCUGUGGCUGGGGGUGAAAGGCCAAUCAAACCGGGAGAUAGCUGGUUCUCCCCGAAAGCUAUUUAGGUAGCGCCUCGUGAAUUCAUCUCCGGGGGUAGAGCACUGUUUCGGCUAGGGGGCCAUCCCGGCUUACCAACCCGAUGCAAACUGCGAAUACCGGAGAAUGU